RNAcentral lists this ribosomal RNA (301 nucleotides) under uncultured bacterium. Its description in RNAcentral is "partial 16S ribosomal RNA". It matches the Rfam family "Bacterial small subunit ribosomal RNA", at positions 509 to 807 of the family's 1533-position model. The record is from RNAcentral.
CAGUCGCCGCGGGAAUACGGAGGGAGCUAGCGUUGUUCGGAAUUACUGGGCGUAAAGCGCACGUAGGCGGCUUUGUAAGUUAGAGGUGAAAGCCUGGAGCUCAACUCCAGAAUUGCCUUUAAGACUGCAUCGCUUGAAUCCAGGAGAGGUGAGUGGAAUUCCGAGUGUAGAGGUGAAAUUCGUAGAUAUUCGGAAGAACACCAGUGGCGAAGGCGGCUCACUGGACUGGUAUUGACGCUGAGGUGCGAAAGCGUGGGGAGCAAACAGGAUUAGAUACCCCUGUAGUCCCUGUCUCUUAUAC